RNAcentral lists this ribosomal RNA (253 nucleotides) under uncultured bacterium. RNAcentral's name for it is "partial 16S ribosomal RNA". It matches the Rfam family "Bacterial small subunit ribosomal RNA", at positions 524 to 776 of the family's 1533-position model. The record is from RNAcentral.
UACGUGGGGGGCUAGCGUUGUCCGGAUUUAUUGGGCGUAAAGAGCGUGUAGGCGGCCUGGUAGGUCUGCUGUGAAAACUCGAGGCUCAACCUCGAGAUGUCGGCGGAAACCAUCUGGCUAGAGUCCGGAAGAGGAGAGUGGAAUUCCUGGUGUAGCGGUGAAAUGCGCAGAUAUCAGGAAGAACACCUAUGGCGAAGGCAGCUCUCUGGGACGGUACUGACGCUGAGACGCGAAAGCGUGGGGAGCGAACAGG